This 253-nucleotide ribosomal RNA is filed under the name uncultured bacterium. Its description in RNAcentral is "partial 16S ribosomal RNA". It matches the Rfam family "Bacterial small subunit ribosomal RNA", at positions 524 to 776 of the family's 1533-position model. The record is from RNAcentral.
UACGAAGGGUGCAAGCGUUACUCGGAAUUACUGGGCGUAAAGCGUGCGUAGGCGGUUUGUUAAGUCUGUUGUGAAAGCCCCGGGCUCAACCUGGGAAUGGCAAUGGAUACUGGCAGGCUAGAGUGCGGUAGAGGGUAGUGGAAUUCCCGGUGUAGCGGUGAAAUGCGUAGAGAUCGGGAGGAACACCAGUGGCGAAGGCGGUUACCUGGACCAGCACUGACACUGAGGCACGAAAGCGUGGGGAGCAAACAGG